This 122-nucleotide small RNA is filed under the name Staphylococcus hominis. RNAcentral's name for it is "Ribosomal protein L20 leader". It matches the Rfam family "Ribosomal protein L20 leader". From Rfam's summary of the family: This family is a putative r-protein leader autoregulatory structure found in B. subtilis and other low-GC Gram-positive bacteria. It is located in the 5' untranslated regions of mRNAs encoding initiation factor 3 followed by ribosomal proteins L35 and L20 (infC-rpmI-rplT). A Rho-independent transcription terminator structure that is probably involved in regulation is included at the 3' end. Lineage: Bacteria; Bacillati; Bacillota; Bacilli; Caryophanales; Staphylococcaceae. The record is from RNAcentral.
AACCAAGUAGAAACACCCGUUUCUCACCUGUAGCGACGCAAAAAGCUGUUGGCAGGUUAAUCAUGUCACACAAUUAUUGUGUAUGAGUGAAGAGCGGGCAAAUAUUGUCCGCUCUUUUUGCU